UUUUUUACAUAAAUGAGGCCGUUAGUUUUCUCGUUUGAAUUGUUUUACAUUGUCUUAUCAGGGUCUUUUAUAGCUGACUAUGAGGUAUGGGCUUUGCUCAUUGUUGAAGGCCGUAUGGUGACCUAUAGUUGUUAAUGUUUGUGUCAUUUUGGUCUUUUGUGGAUAGUUGUCUCAUUGGCAAUCAUACAACAUCUUCUUUUUU
RNAcentral lists this long non-coding RNA (202 nucleotides) under Mytilus galloprovincialis (Mediterranean mussel). The record is from RNAcentral. Lineage: Eukaryota; Metazoa; Mollusca; Bivalvia; Mytilida; Mytilidae.